This 363-nucleotide RNase P RNA is filed under the name Candidatus Staskawiczbacteria bacterium RIFCSPHIGHO2_01_FULL_39_25. Its description in RNAcentral is "RNase P RNA component class A". It matches the Rfam family "Bacterial RNase P class A". From Rfam's summary of the family: Ribonuclease P (RNase P) is a ubiquitous endoribonuclease, found in archaea, bacteria and eukarya as well as chloroplasts and mitochondria. Its best characterised activity is the generation of mature 5'-ends of tRNAs by cleaving the 5'-leader elements of precursor-tRNAs. Cellular RNase Ps are ribonucleoproteins. RNAcentral also lists the same sequence under 2 other names. Lineage: Bacteria; Candidatus Staskawicziibacteriota. The record is from RNAcentral.
UUAGCAAGAUGGGUGAUUGCUCUGCGGUAAUUUGCAGAGAGGAAAGUCCGAACUCCCACUCUCCGAAAGGAGGUUAAAAAAGUAAUGGCUAACCGCCAUACACAGUAAUGUGCGAGGUGCGAACAGAAACGGCUCAAGCUGAAAAGCUUGGCAUUCCUUCAUGGAAUAGUCCUGCAGUAAUGCAGGGAUGAAACGGCUAAAUCCUUACUGGGUGCAAGAACAAACCUGAAAAGAGUUUCUUGAUUCUUAUUCAGUGAAAAGUAGUUCGCUUGAUUCCGAUGGCAACAUCGAGAACAGACAGAUAAUCACACUUCGCUCCUCUGGGGCGGAACACAGAAUUCGGCUUAUAAUCUUGCUGAGACA